UAAUCAACCAAGUGCUCAGAAGUAAUCAGAAAAGAUACAUCUAUAACUGCUGCUGCUAUUUCCAUUUUCAUUCCAACUUUUGCGGAAGGACACCUUUUUUUUUAAAAUAGAAAAACGACAUGAGGCCAGUUGCGUGCUGUAUCCUUACGCCUUCCGUUUGCGUUGUUGUGAGCGUCGUCAGUUUCCCUUUUGCUAACAACCAGCCUCUGUUUAAAGUUUAAACUCAAGGUGAUAUUACCAUUCCACCUUUAACAGCAGGCCAAGGCCCCGGAAUUAGUUUUUCGUGCGCGAAAACUCUGCACGUCUGUUCGACGGGUGACUGACCAGCGCAUCCAAACCAAAGGGAGUUGAAGACUGGAUACACGUGGAACCCAGUUCGGUUAAUAAACUCCAGAACCAGCCUGGCGUGCCCUUUGCUGUAUAUGACCUGCUGGCCUGCUGCACAGCCACAGCCCUCUGCAUGCCACAACAGCUCUGAAGCACAGUUUCACCACACAAAUUCACAUCAUCAGUGAGACAGCUGCAUCAAAUUGAGCGUGUUUCGCCCGGUUGGCGGCAGUGAGUGUUUUGCAGCCCUCGGUGCAGCCGGGCCUUUAAGCAGCAAAAACAAUCUGUGUUGUUACACUCCGUGAGGUGGCGGCUCUAAUGCAGAAUUGUUUGAACACCAAAUUGAAUAUGCGUAUAUAUGUGUGUAUAUGCUAUGACUCCUUGCUAGAAAAUAAUAUAAAAACGUUCCAUUCAAAUGAUUCAACAUCUGAAAGGAGUGAAAUUUGUACAGAUUUGUAUAUAUUCUGCCAUUUCUAUUGACAUUGUUUACUACAUUGUGUCUUCAAACAUGUAAUGCAGACGUUAAAUCAUCAUUAUAUUCCCAUGCUGUCUGCUGUUUUUUUUUUACCUUUUGAAAUUACCCAUGUCUAAUUCCCCUUUUGUAAACAGCCAUUAUACUCCCUGAAGUGUGACUUUAAGCUGAGGAGUCUUCCUGUCCCAGUAGGGGUUUACAGUCAAUGAAGGUGGAGACAGUUUGACCUAGUUCAUUACACUGCAGGCAGGCAGAGGCAGGAAGGCCAGCGUCUCCUCUGGGGCAUUUCACGGCUCUCUCUACUUUAAGAGGUUUCCUUAGUGACUCAGUGAAGUAUAGUGACCUCAGCUGACAUUCAUUUGAAGCAAGACUCUUAAACAUGU
Gasterosteus aculeatus aculeatus (three-spined stickleback) is the source of this 1182-nucleotide long non-coding RNA. RefSeq lists it as uncharacterized. Lineage: Eukaryota; Metazoa; Chordata; Actinopteri; Perciformes; Gasterosteidae. The record is from RefSeq and is a predicted model, not a curated record.